Long non-coding RNA from Gorilla gorilla gorilla (western lowland gorilla), 14492 nucleotides. RefSeq lists it as uncharacterized. The record is from RefSeq and is a predicted model, not a curated record. The transcript is spliced from 2 exons. Lineage: Eukaryota; Metazoa; Chordata; Mammalia; Primates; Hominidae.
GGUACAAUGGUGCUUUGCAGGAAACCCUGUGCCCACAGCAUCUGUUCUGCAGCUUGGCAGACCGCAGCUGGCCCUGAGCAUGGCCUACUAAUUUUCUGGGUCAGGUGUGGCUGUGGUGAGAUGGAUCUCAGCCAGACAUCCUCCUGACAGCUGAAAACAAGACCAGCAGAAGCAACCAACCCUCAUUGCUCACAGCUUGGGCCCAGUGCUCAGCCCCAGGACCAGCUGACACUGAUAGUAGCUGUUUUAAACCACAGGAAUAAAAUGGAGGAAAAAUCAUCUUCCAAAGAUGAGAAAUGCUGCUCACAAAAGAAAGGUGCUGUGUAGAGUCCCAAUAAACAAUAUUGUCUAUAAAUGACUCUGGGAAUCACUAAUAAGUGAUGAUAAAGCUGAUUAUGCAUUAUGUAAAUGUUUAGAUUUGAAAAAAUUGAUUUAUAGCAUAUAAAAUCCCAUUAUUUUAUAUUACUGAAAUAGGAAUAUGAAGGAAUGGAAACAUUUUAUUUUAAAAACAUAAAGUUACACUAAGACAUUAGCUCCUUUGACUCACAUAUUUCAAAAACAAUGACGGUUUUCAGUGGAAAAUAAUGCUAAAAAGUUCUGAAAAUAACAGUAAUAAGGAAGAAUUUGAGUAAUGAAACAUUUAUUCACUCAUUUUCCUUCAAGUAUGUACCAUAUAGCUAUAAAAUAAUUAGACUAAAAAAUGGCAGGCACAGCAGAACCUUAAACCAACAAAUUUAAAGUAUAGACAUUUUGUUGGUAUAAUAAUAGCAUUAAUAUGUAUUGAAUGUUUACCAAGUGCAGGUAACUAUUAUAAAACCUUUAUUGGCAUGAUCUGAAUUACUUCUCAAAACAAAUAGUUGGCAAACUAAGGCCUGUGGGCCAAACUCGGCCCACCUUCUAUUUUUGUACAGAGUUUUAUUGGAACACAGCAACACUCAUUCAAUUAUGCAUUGUCUAUGGCUACUUUUAUGCUACAGAAUUGAGCUGUAGUGGCAGAGACUGUAUGGACUACAGAGCCUGAAGAAUUUGCCAUCUGGCCCUUUACAGAAGAAGUUAGUUGAUCCCUGCAAAACAAUCCAAUGGAGUAGGUACUGUUAUUUCUGCUUUACCCCAAGGUCACAGAAUGGUAAUUGUCAGGGUAGUGAUUCAAAUCCUGAACUGUCUGACUAUAAAGUCUAUCAUCUUUUUAGAUUUAUAGCACAGAGCACAGGCCCUAGAGUCAGACUGUUUGGGUUCAGAUCAGAUUCUACCAUCUAGUAACUGCAUAUUGGACAGUUUGCUUAACUGCCCUGUACCUCGGAUUCCUCCAUAACUCUUCCCAUUGGUAAUAGAUGUGGCUGGUCAUCCUUCGUGUCAGUACAGGCCUUGGACCCUGACUGUCUGUCCCAGGCCCUGCAUCUCGGGGCCUCCCAUGCUUUGGAGUGCCUCCUUCAACAUUCUCAAAGUUUCUCUGGGAACAGCUGGAGUAGCAGUGCCAUCUGGGCAGGGUACCCUGAGCUGGGACCAGUAAGUAUCCUGGUCCCCAUUUCUGCCCUUUGGAUUGCUCUUUGAUCUCUACUUCCCAGCCCUCAUGUGGGGCUGAUCUGUUGCCCCAAGGAGCUCCAGGACUCAUAUCUGUGGGUUUAUUUUGGGAUCCUUGACCUGGCCCUGAUUCCGGGUAGGUGACCAGAUGAGCCACUGCUCCCCAGAAUAGCCCAGUUUUUCUUGUUGAGUCACCAGGCAAGUGCAGAAAUGUUGAUUUUGGUGACUCUCACUUACAUAAAACCCAUACAUUCAGGGCUCUGAGAUUCUCAUGGCCCACUGCCAGCCCUUGACUAGAGCCAUAUGUGGGGUCCAUGUGUCAGGUCUCACCGCUCCAUGUCUGAAUAAAUAGUGGCUUCCAUUCUAUAGCACCCCAAGGCAGUGAAGGUGGUAUCACUUACCCUCUCCCCUGUACCCCUCCCAUCACUAGCACCAGGAAAGUCAAACCCCAUCGCUGAGCAUUCUUCCAGAGCAUUGUCUGUCCCCAAAGAACAUUUGACACUUGUUCUGCAAUGCUAGCAGACCCUCCUGCUUGAGGCCCUCCAAUCAAUGUGUUGCCUGUGUCAAUGUGUUGACAUGAACCCUCUGUGCUUAAGCCAUGUUGGGGAGAGGUGGACAUUUCUUGCACAAAUAGGACCACUCUUCUUUUUCUACCCAUGGGUUCCCCCCACCUCCCCAUGGUGAUAGUGUGUGGAAGGCAAAGGUGCUGUCAACAUUAAAAGAAAUCACAUUCUAGGAAUGUAGGAAUUACCGUAGGGAGUUCAAGAGAAGAUAUGGUCAGAAAAUGUGCUCUUCUAUAUUUAUGCUAUAAAAUUUCAAACAGUGAAUUUAACAUUCUCAGAAAAUGAAUUAACAUUCACAUUUUCCUGCAUAUUCUGGGCAAGACUUGACUUUGUGGUCAUCAUCUCCAAAACACAGUAACCGCCCUCCCUUGAGAGCAUCAGUGGAAGCCAGGAUUCAUGGGUGGCAGCAGGGAUGACACAACAUCAUGAUUGAUGAUACAACCAGCAUUAAAUAAAUGAUAUUAAGGAAAUCCAGAGGCUAGAAAAGCUGUUAUUUCAAUACAAACAAAUGCUGAAGAGCCAGUGUUGUAAUAACAGCAUUGCAACCCUUUUCUCCCAGUGAGACAUGUGGAAUUAGCACAUCUAACAAUAAAAAACACAAAGAGGAUUCUGGCAUCUGCACAGAAAGUGAUGGUGCCUAGACACUAUGAAAAAAUCUUCCCUUGCACUGAUUGAACAAUAAGCAAAUACAAAAAUACCUGUUCUUUACCCAUUAUUCUAAAUCUUCAUUGAUAAAUCAUGACUCAGAUAGGCCUACGAAUUUUGUAAAACAUUAAAUCAAAUUCUUUAUACAGACAGGGACUUGGCAGAAAAUAUUUUCCAGGGACACAUAACAUAAAGAUGCCCUGCUUGGUAUUACCUCAUUUUCUUUUCUAUGAAGUCACUCUUGCUUUCACUUGCAGUUUCUCCUGUCUUUCUUCACAUUGGUGCUUUCCCAUGUUUUUUUUUUCUCGUUUAGGGUGUUCUUUCCUUCUUUUCAAAAAUCACUUUAUGCUUUGUAAUAUUUGUAGCCCUCAACUUCUUUCCAAGCAGGUAAUUUUGCCUUUCUCUCUGUCUCUUUGGUCAUCUGCCUGUCUUAGCCUUUCAGACAUUCUCACACUCUAAUACACACAUGCACGUGCACACACACACUCUAUACAUAUACACUAUGCACAUAUCAUAUAUACACACAACUGAUAAACAUUUUGUUUUAACUUACAAGCAGCAUGUUUACACAGAAUUUGUCCUUGGCUUUAGUAACUAUACUCACCAAAUAGAGGGCUACAUAUCUGAUACAGGAGAGUCAGUCCAGGAUUACUUGCUUUCAUUCUCAAUCUUGUCUGGAUAAUCAGGUUACAGUAUGCUAAGGACAUCAAGAUGCCCAGAAUGGCACAAGCGGAAAUUCUUUUAGAUGCCUUGUUGUGUGCUCUUGAGUGUCUGUGGUUAGAACUUGAUUCUUUACUGGCCUACGGAUCAAGUGUCCUGUGGUUUGUGACAGCUGCAGCAUUGGAUGAGAUAACUGGGGGUGCCAGGCAUAAUUCAUCCCCGUAUGUCCACAUUCUGAUUAUAGAAAGCUAUUGACCUAAAAUAACAUUUUAUAUCAUUUAAAAAUAUUUGGGUAGCCUAAGAUCCAUUUUUUGUUUUGGAUCAGGAGGCACUACAGCCAAUUUUUACAUGUCGUACCUCUUUGUUUUCACAGAUAAUUUAUAUUUCUUUAUCUCUGACACUAUUUGGCUGUCCUAGAAAUAGCUGAUGACACCAAUUAGGAUAUAUGCUCAGUCGCUGAUGACGUCCUAUCCUAUUAUGUGUUCAUGCACAGCAGGGCAGGGUAUCUGAAAUGCAUUUGCUUUAGCACAUUUAGAUAAUGUGUGGGGAAGGUGACAGGUUUUUAUUUUCUUUUUUGCCAAUUUGUGCAUUAGUGUCUCUUAAGUGGCAGAUUAAAAAUUUCUUAAAGCACUAACACUGAUUAAAAAUGUUUGUUUAGGCUUGUUCAGAACUCUUAAGUGCUUGCAGGAUCCAAAUCACAUUCUCGUCCUUUAAGCAAACAACAUUUUAAAAGCCUGUAAUGGCUGUAUCUUAUUGAAGCAAACGAUAAUAACUUUCUAUAGGGCUAUUUUCUUUUAUAAGGUAAAUAACUAAAACUUGUAAAUAUGGAAAAAUAAUCCAGAUCCAUAGACAUAUUUGUAAGUAUAUAUUUCUUAAAAAUGUUUCAGUCCUAUUAGUCUCUAUCAUUUUAAUACACUGACAAAAUGUAUAGUACUUUGUUCUUUUCUCAAAACUCUUUUUCAGAAUUUAUGGCAUUUCUUGUACCUGGUAAAGACUACUGAUAAGCCAUUUCUUGUGGACUAAUAAAAAAAUUAGUUUUUGGUAAGCAUUAAUUUUAGUCUCUGCUUUUUAUCUGUUUAUUCAUUCUUUCAUCCUUCAUUCAACACAGCUUCUGUGCUGGGCUGGGAGUCAGGUUGGAGGAAUGUGCCCUCUCCCCAGGAGGAUGGACUUGAUUGUAUCACUGUGGGGGACCCACUGAAUAGUGGGACCUCUGCAAAGUGCAGUGCAGCCCAAGAGGAGAGAACAACUGAUUCUAACACAGGCUUCACAGAGAAGGUGACAGAGGUUUUAACGGGUUAGUAAAAAAGGAGUUCGUGCAAAGACAGAAAGGCUGAAAAGAUGGGUAUUUGGGGAGUUCUGCAAUGGCAAAUGAGGGGGAAGCUAAAUGUGUGUGGCUGGUGGCAUAAGUAACGUGGGAUGUGUAGAUUGAGGCCAGAAGGUGAAGGGACUUGAGUGCCAUUUUCAAGACUUUGUUUGGACUUUGUCUCCUAGCUAUGGAGACCUCAUAAGGACCUUUAGUCAGGGUGGUGACUUAAAAGUGGGCACUAUUGGAAUCAGAGGCUCUUACAAUAACUGUGAGAGGGAAUAAGGACUUAAGGCAAAGACCUUCUUUGUGAUUAUAGACAAAUUUAUUAUGCAAUACAAUAGAUAAAAAAGAUUAAUGCAUAAGUCUUCAUAGCCCCUCUUCCUCUUCUUCCCCAUACCCCCCAGGAAAAUUCUAGCAGAGCUAUGGAUUAUGAGUUGGAUUUUCUUUGGAGUUCUUUAAGAGAAGAAUAUAAAUAUUCUAAAUGCUUUAAUUCUUCUUUGUUGCUACAUCUUGAUUUGUUUGUUUUUUCACUGUAACUGCACUGAGAUCAGUCCCCAUGGAGCUCUAGGUUAUUAGGGCUACAUAACAUGUUUUUUUUUUUUUUUAGGAGAGCCAGUAUAAUGUUGGGUGACCCAAAGGUUAAUGCCUACUUGGGGGCAGUUUGAAGACCUACUAGUUAGUCACAUCUACAAAGAUAAGACAGGCAAGAUUUUAAAAACCCAAAUCCUGUCUGGUUUCCUGCUACCACAGUAAUUUCCUGAGGAAUACUCCAGGAUAAGAACAUGCUAUUUAUUACCAGCUAGGGCUUUGUCCUUGACACCUCACAAAAGUGCCUAUGCCAGGUCAUGAACCUGGGUCAAUCUGUGGGCAAGAUGUAAGAACCCUUUGCCUCCUCUGAACUCGGAAGCAAUUGAGAUGACAUCCAUCUUUGGAUGUUCUCUCCUGGACUCUACCUGAUUCCUGCUUGGUUUUCUAACAGAGGGAAAAAAGAGGAUGCUGCUUUCCAACCAUAAGGAGGCCUCCAUCCAAUCUUAUCCUAUCAGCUGCUAGGAAGGGAAAAGAGAGAAGUGACCUCUGUUCUAAGAAAGUUGAAUUUUAAAGGAAGAAGUUCUGAAUGAAGUGCCCCAAUCAGGAGCAAGGAUGCUUAUCUUCUUUCCUCCUCUGAUAUGGUUUGACUGUGUCUCUACCCAAAUCUUAUCUUGAAUUGUAGUUCCCAUAAUCCCCAUGUGUCAUGGGAGGGACCCAGUGGGAGGUAAUCGAAUCACGGUGGUGUUUACCUAAAUGCUGUUCUCGUGAUAGUAAGUUCUCAUGAGAUCUGAUGGUUUUAUAGGGGUUUUUCCCCUCCUUCUCUCUGCACUUCUUCUUGCUGCCACCAUGUGAAGAAGGGUGUGUUUGCUUCCAUUUCUGCCGUGAUUCUCUUUCCUGAGGCCUCCCCAGCCCUGCAGAAGUGUGAGUCAAUUAAACCUCUUUCCUGUAUAUUUAAUCAACUAUCUAGUCUCUGUUAUGUCUUUAUUAGCAGCAUGAGAACAGACUAAUACAGCUAACCCACUUUACCCUUAGCAGCAUAGAUUCAAUUCCACCUUCUUUGUGGAAUUGAAUUCCUAAUUCAUAUUAGGGUGUUGGGCAGAGUGAGUAUUUGACUUUCAUUUAUUCAUUGGAUUUUACAUCCAGGUUGUGCCACUAGCACAAACAGUUCAUAGAGGGCCUUGUAUACCUGUUUAGGAAUUUGGGCUUUGUAUGGUAAAGGAGAGUUUCUGAAGGUUGUUAAUUAGGGACUUUAUGGGUUUAGAUGUUCAGUUAGAGAAGUUUAAAAUAUUUUUUAAAAUAAAGUAUCUAAAAAAUAUUUUUAGAGCCCAUCACUCAAAAUUAAAAAGGAAAAACAUUGGCAGGGGUCAUUCUAAAGACAGUGAAAUAGUUAGGAAGCUGUUGCUAUAUAAUAGAAGCAAGGUAUGAUGAGGGCCUGAAUGAAGUCAGUGGCAGUGGGAUUGGAGAAAAGAGAUUGGACAUGAGAAAUAUUUAGGAGGCAAAAGAAGACGGUUGUGUGGAAAAAGGAGAUACUUCCCGGGUUUUGUCCUGAGAAGCUGGCUGGAUGGUAUUGUCACUCACAAGCACAGGAGAAGGAGGAUGGAAGCAUAUUUUUGUUGGUGGUGAACUUGAUUUGAAAUAUGGUAGAUUUGGGGUUCUGGCAGGCCAAACAAGCAGAGAUGUCCAGGGCUCAUCUGGAUAUUCAGGUCUGAAGCCCAGGAGUUGUAUUUGGGCAGGAGAUAGAGAUGUGGGAGUCAUCAGAAAAUAGAUGGCAGUUGAAGCUCUGAAACAAGACAUCACCAAACAGAAGAAUGAGAAUGACCCUAGGGUGCGUGGUAGCAAUGGGGUCAGUAGUCGAAGAAGAACCGGGAAGGAUUCACAGUGGUGUAGUUGGUGGGAGAGAAGGAAAACCAGAGAGAAGGGAGUGAGAGGAGCAGCAGUGCCCUGGAGAGUAAAGUGCUGCAAUGCUGCAGAGAAAAAAGGGAGGUAGGGUGGGGAACAUCUGUGACUUUAGGAAAGUGGUUCAUUGGUGACUGCUGAGCGCAGCUUCAGUGAACGGUGGCAGUAGGUCUGGCGGAAAGUGACUCAGUGAAUGUGAGGUGAGCAAAUGGAGACAUUGGUGUAAACGCCCCUCUCAAGGUUGUGGAAGCGGCUCACGUUUUUGAGGCAGGGCUGUGUUUGUUUUUCAGAGGUAGGGACUUGAGCAUAUUCUCUGCAGAAGCCCCCAGUCAGUGAGACUGGUAAAGUCUGUUGUCAUGUAGUCAGAGGCAGAGUCUCAGUUCUACUCCUUCUCUUAUCUCGGUCACACUGAAUACUUUUGCUCUUUCUUAAAUCACCAGUUGGCUCCUGGGGCUCCCAGGCCUUUCUGGGUUUGCUCUGGGUUUAUUCACCUCUUGUGUCAGUCUGUUCUCAUGCUGCUAUGAAGCAAUACCCGAGACUGGGUAAUUUAUAAAGGAAAGAGGUUUAAUUGACUCAUAGUUCUGCAGGACUGGGGUGGCCUCAGGAAACUUAUGGUCAUGGCAGAAGGAGAAGCAAACAUGUCCUUCACGUGGCAGCAGGAGAGAGAAGUGCAAAGGGGGAAAACCCCUUAUAUAAAAACAUCAGAUCUUGUGAGAACUCACUAUCAUGAGAACAACAUGAGGGUAACUGUCCCCAUGAUUCAAUUAUCUCCUGCUGGGUCCCUCCCAUGACACGCGGGGAUUACGGGAACUACAAUUCAAGAUGAGAUUUGGCUGGGGAUGUAGCCAAACCACAUCACCCCUGUUAGAGGUGGAGGAUUUGCUGUGCCCCUCUCACUGCCACCCCCACUGCCACCAGGGCAGUCAUGUCUCACAUGGUGGGACAUUUGGUAUCCCCACUCCUUCACCCACUUGUGCCUUCAGAGAGGACUCGGAGCCCUCAGGAGAGCUACAGGGUAGUCCCGUGAAUAGCCAGAGGCCAGUGAGAUGAUGUACUCUGAGGAGAGGCUUCCCACAAUACAAACCUUAGGUGUCAAAUGUGCUAUGAGGACACUGAGGCACUGUACCCUCAGCACCUGUGGCAGGUAGGUGGGGCCCAGGCCAGCCACAACAGCCCUUUCAUUUCCCCAUGGUGCUGUCCCAAUGUCAUAAUUUUCUUUGUCAUGAUACGGGAAGCACUGCCUGAUGGGGCCCCACCUCCAGCACAUUGGCUGUCUCUCUGUCACUUGACUUCCUGAAUGGUAUUUAAAUGCCCCCCGCAUCACUGUUGGGUCUCAGCAAACUCUCUGGCCUCUUCUUCAAUUUGCCCUCUGCACACUGGGAAGGCCUAUUUAACUUUGCCUGGCAUCUGUGUGGAAGAAACACUUCUUAGGCAAAGAGCUCCUGGAAGACAAUCUCCCUAGCAACAACGAAGCAUUCUCUCUACAGUCUUUUCUGCUUCUCUUUUGUUGUUAUCUGGAUGACAGGGAUUGAAUCUGGCCUCUGCCCAUAUCAAAUGCUGUCUGGGGCUGGAAACAAGCCUCAAAACGUGUUUUAAAUAUUUUAUUUCCCCCCAUCUCCCCUAAGUCUGCCCACCAUGCAUACGCUUGAUUAAAGUUAUGCCCCAGUGAUCAAUUGUGAGUGACAGUAACCCUCCUAAAGGUAGUCUACUUAGCCUCUGGGCUCAGGCAACACACCUGUGUCUGAUUAGACACUGUUACCCUGCUUGAACAUAUGCCACAUGAAAGCAGCUUUCUCUUGUGCUCUCGUAGUGGGAGAUGCUUUCUUGUAAUGUUAAUGCAGGGCUAGACUUUUCUCCUGCUGAUCCUUUGCCUGGAAUGUUCUCCUCUUCCUUGUCACCAGCCAGAGCCCCACUAAAUCAGUGUAAACUCCUUAAGGGAAGACUAAAGUCCUGGGAAGUGGGGUCAUCCUGGUCUUAUCUCCUUAAAGAACCUAACUCUUCAAGGGGGUCUUCCCUGUUAACCCUCUGUACUAGUUGGCUAGGGCUGCAAUUGCCAAUACCAUGAACUGCGUGACUUAAACAACAGAAACUAAUUGUCUCACAGUUUUGGAGAUCAAGAUCAAGGUGCCAGCAGGUUUGGUUUCUCCUGAGACCUCUUUCUUCGGCUUGCAGAUGGCCACCUUCUUGUUGUGUCCUCCCAUGGCCUUUCGUCUGUGUGUGUGCAUCCCUAAUGUCUCUUCCCCUUUUUAUAAGGACGUGAGUCCUAUCCAAUUAGGGUCCCACCCUUAUGAGCUCAUUCAGCCUUAAUUACUUCUUCAAAGGCUUUAGCUCCAAAUAUAGUCACACUGAGGGUUAGGGCUUCAACAUAUGAAUUUUAAGGGAACACACUUCAGUCCACCUCAUUAUCCUUAACGUUUUCCAUUUUUCUGUAUUCUCUCCAGUGCUUGGGUAUUGCAUCAGUUUCCUAUAAUUGCUUUAGCAAAUUACCAAAAACUUGGUGGCUAUAAACAACAGAAAUUUAUUGUCUCACAGUUCUAGAGGCCAGAAGUCUGAAAUCGGUGUCACUGGGCCGAAAUUAAGCUGUCAGCAAGGCUGUACUCCCUCCAGAGGCUCUAGGGGGAAAUCUGUCCCUUGCCUUUUUCACUUUUUGGUGGCUGGCAGCAUUCCUUGAUUUCUGGAUGCAUCAAUCCAUCCUCUGUGGUCACAUUGUCUACUCCUCUUCUGGUCAAAUUUCCCUUUGCCUCUCUCUUAUAGGGACAAUCGUGAUUGCAUUUAGGGUCCACCCAGAUAAUCCAGAAUAAUGCCCCAUCUCAAGAUCCUUAACUUAAUCAUAUCUGUAAGGUCCCUUUUACCAAAUAAGGUGACUUUUAUAGGUUCCAGACAUUAGAAUCUCCUAUCUUGGGGGCCAUUAUUCCACCAGCCACAGGAGUAUUGUUCAUAAUAUAUCAUUUGAUGUUUAAACAAAUGAUGUAUCAGUUGAUGUUUAACAGCUGACCUACAAGAAGAGCCCUUGUUGCAAGGGCAGGAGACACAAAGAUGUUUUUGCUGGGUGUGUUCACACAAGAUCACACCCUUCAUACCAUAAUCUAGACCCUUGGCUCUGUCCUCCCACAUGACCUUCGCCUGAGGGGAGGGGCUGGGGACUAGGGAGCCAAGGAGUCUCCCUGGGGAGGUGAGGUUUCAGAUGAUCCAGGGGUUGGAAGAAGUUUCUCCCAUGCAUUUUUAUCUCAUGGCUGGUUAAGAGGGGUGGGCAUCCCACUCCCAGAAGCCAUUUCACUUUGAAUACUUUGUUUACUUCUGGUUAGAAGAGUCUUCAGGAGUGUGGGCUCUGGUAAGAAGGUCCCAUUUUCCCUGGUCUUAUACAACCAGGUCUGCUUCUUGUAUUUUGCUAUCGUGACACUUUUGCAAUUUUUCCUCUCAAUUACCUAAGGUACCUGAUGAAUAUUCAACAUGUUUGUGAAGUCCAGAGUGCCAGAUGUAUUGAAAAUGAGCAAUUUUAAUCAACGGUGAACCUACCUCUUUAUUUUUAUGUUUUUUUUUAAAAAAGAGGGCGAUUACUGAAGCUUCACAAAUAGUGCUUCAUUUAGUCAUAGGAGCCAUGAUCUGGUACUAGGAUGGGAGGACUUUAUUGGCUGCUAAUCUAAGAUUGUGUUUGUCUGUUCUUCCUUCUUGCCAUUUAUGGUGAAAAAUCUUCCAGAGCACCACAAGUGUUUUGUUUCUUGUUUCUAGUCCCAUCCCAAUUUCAUUUUCAUGCAAUGGGAGUCAGGUUUGGAAGAUAAUUACCAAUUUCCUUUUCCUACUUUUAACAAUGCCCCUGCUUACCGUACAAAGUUGUGUCUGAACAUUACUGCUUAUUCUGAAAAACUCAAUAUGUAAUUUUUAAUGUCGUUUCAAGCCUUUUGAAGUUUCAUCUGUUUCUGGGGCAUUGCUAAUGGUUUACCUUACAACGCAGAAAGAACUUAUAAAGGAGAUGUCAGGAGAAAAUAAUAAUCUCCUUAAUGCAAUCAUGUCAUUAAGAUGCUACUGUUAAGAGUGGGGGAUGAGGCAGAGGAAAGACCAGACAGUGACUUAGAAACAGGAGCAUUUGGCAUCGAAGGCAUUACUGUCUUGAAGCCUUCUGGCCUGUAGGGUGUAUAGAAACAUGUCAGUUAUGGAGAGAUUUAUAUUAAUCUCCUGUACCAUCUAAUUUGGUUGAUUCAAAAUUAGGUGUAAUUACAAGUGAUCUUCUGGCACUAGGGAGACCAGCCAACAAUAACCUUCAUCAUCUCUUCUGGUGAAGGCCACAUUUGCUCUCAGGUAAAUCUCUCAGAAAAGCUCAUCACUGCCCAUUUUUCUUUGGUCCCAGGCAAAAUUAUGCAUUACACGAACUCACUCUUCCUGCUUUUCCUGGUCUCUCUUGCUACCUGGUCCCAGGCGAGUUGCUAGAGACUUGUGCUCCCACAGUGGGCAUCUGAUAAGUGAGUUCACUUUUCACUGUUGGUGGCUUGCAGAUGUUGUUACUCCUGGAAUUAUUCUAAGGGGACUCCAUGCCUAAUAGAAAAAGCCUCACCUAAAAAGGAACCCAUUUCCAAGGGUAGAGUUUUCUAGCCCUGGGGCAGCUGAGUGUAGAAGAAAUUGUUUUGAGCAGUACUGUUUUUCUAGGGUCACACAAGUUCUGCCUAUUUCACUUGUAACAAUGCUGCCCAUGGGUAUAAGGAUGACAUCCUUUGGAGUUUUAAUGCACAUUUCCUGGAACUUAAAGAUGGGAAUUUUCUAUGGACACAGUACCUCAAAGGGUUUCUUUGUUGGGAUUUUCGAGACCCAAAUGUAAUGAAAGAAUCUUUUCACUACAGAUGAUCCUUGACUUAUGAUGGGGGUUACGUCCUGAUAAGCCCAUUGUAAGUUAAAAAAUGUAAGUAGAAAAUGUGUUUUCAAUUAAGAACCAUCCUAAGUCGGGAACCAUCUGUACUUUUGUGGGUAUUUGGGGUGCAAACGUUGGGGACCAUGUGUUAGGCUGAUAAUGACCAUCUUGCUGAAGUGCCUUGUAGGGUAAGGACUCACCCUGGGAGAGACUGUGAGUUUCCCUGAGGGGUGGACAGUCCACACAUCACCUCUGGGAAGAGGCAGGUCCUCGGAAGUCUGGGGCUUCUGCUCCUCUCUGAGCCUCAGUUUUAUGAGUCUGGACUUCAAGGAGUUUGAGAGAACUUCCAGGGCUGUUUGUUUCUACUCAGUUGAAUUGUUUUUCCUACUUUGUAAGCCAGAACUCCUGGCUCUCUUGGGUUCUAAUGACCCAGGAGACUCUUCAAUGACAUUUGGAUUCUGUUUCCUGGGGAGCUUUCUUCCUUAAUCCUGGGGAUACUCAAAGUGUAAGCCAGCCUGGGAAAAGAUGGAUUGAAAGUUCUGAGGCGGGAGGAUCACGAGUUCAGGAGAUCAAGACCAUCCUGGCUAACAAGGUGAAACCCUGUCUCUACUAAAAAUACAAAAAAAAAUUAGCUGGGCGUGGUGGUGGGCACCUGUAGUCCGUUACUAGGGAGGCUGAGGCAGGAGAAUGGCGUGAACUUGGGAGGUGGAGCUUGCAGUGAAUCGAGAUGGCGCCACUGCACUCCAGCCUGGGUGACAGAGCGAGAUUCCGUCUCAAAAAAAAAAAAAAAAAAAAAGUUCCUGGGGCUGGGCACAGUGGCUCACGCCUGUAAUCCCAGCACUUUGGGAGGCCAAGGUGAGUGGAUCAUUUGAAGUCAGGAGUUUGAGACCAGCCUGGUCAACAUGGUGAAACCCUACCUCUACUAAAUACAAAAAUCAGCCAGGCAUGGUAGUGAGCACCUGUAGUCCCAGCUACUUGGGAAGCUGAGGUAGGAGAAUCGGUUGAAACCAGGAGGUGGAGGUUGCAGUGAGCUGAGAUUGCGCUACUGCACUCCAGCUUGGGUGACAGUGAGACUCUGUCUCAAAGAAAAAGUUCCUGGGGAUAUAGCUGCUGGGACAACUGCCCAGUGUGUUCAGCCCAGGGACUGCAAUACCAGCUUGCUUCAUCUGGAGUUGUUUCAGGAGACACUUAGCCCCUCUCACUUCCUUCACCUUCCUAAAUGACUUUCCCUGAGCACCUCACGUCAGCCUCACUAUUGAGGUGUCCCUACUCUGGCCUUCAGGUCUCUGAAUGGGCACUAUAGACUGGGCAUGAGCUUUCACAAAAUGCUGGCUAAUUUUAUAUAAAUAUCUAUCCUGGGAACCACCUGUUCAGCAGUCUGAUUCUAGAAUCUUCUUCUACUGGAGUCUUCUCAGGAGUGGAUCCCAAUCUUGCAGACCUAGAAGUGGGCAUUUUUUACUCCAAUCCCUGUUUCUGGACUGUUUUGAAUAGAAGCACUACACUACUAGGAUGUGAGUGUAUCCUUUGGUUAGCUCAUAAUAUUCUUUCCCUUCCAAGAAUGCCCCCUCUCCCUAAAAUGAUCUCAGCAGACCCUCAAGGUACCUUUUGGGUCCUUCUCUUCCACAAAACUGCCCCAGGUCUCUCCCUCCCCAGAACUCAAAGCUCUUUUUUCCCCCAGUGAUCCUUUUGGCAAUGAAUCACGUGCAUAUUUUGUGACACACUCCAAUAAUCACUUCAUGGUGAGCAUAAUACCCACUUCACUGACUCAGCUUUGCUCAUUUUGAUGUAUGGCAGACAUCUCUGUCUGCAUGAUGAGUCUCUGGAAUAUUAACUCUAUUCUGCACGAUGGCUUUGCUUUGGGCAGAUGUUUUUAUCUAUCACCCGUGUCAAUCUGUUUUCCAUGAGGGAAAUUUGGCUGACCUUCAGAGGAUGGAUUACUGACCUCCCGGGAGCCAAUGGAAGUGACAUCAUUAACGGAUUUUUUUUUUUAACAGCAAAAAUGGAAGAUAAUUAAAUGCAGCACAGUAGUUGUAAAACAGAUUUCAUUGUGUUAUACAUCACUUCAUAAAGUAAGCAUAGUUCCCAUUCUUCCACGAUGCUUUUUGCAGCAUUGUACCACAGAAUAAUGACUCCCUAAUAACUCAGCUGAAAAAUAUUUAGAUCUACUUGCUCUAAGAAUAAGGUCAACAUUAAACAUUCUCAGAUGAAAAGCUUGCUGGAUGAAAUAGUGCACCAUCAGAAUAAAGCAUGCAAUAUAUUUACAGUCAGAUGAAACAAGUGUGUCCAUAAAUCAACCAAAAGACCAUCUCCUCCUUUAGGAAAUACAUGUAUUGCUUAGCCAGUACCAAUAAGUUAACGUCGUGUGAAUAAUUUUGGGUAUUCUGGCCUUCCUGAAUCUGAUACAGCCAAACCAACCAGAAGGCUUCCCCUCUGGGUUGAUGGUGGCUUAUCAUUUGGCAUCUAGAAACUUCUCUUAUUUUGCUGGAUAUGGCUGUCUAGUGGGUGGCUUACUGACUUGCCUAAGAAAAAAUAA